RNAcentral lists this ribosomal RNA (326 nucleotides) under uncultured eukaryote. RNAcentral's name for it is "partial 18S ribosomal RNA". It matches the Rfam family "Eukaryotic small subunit ribosomal RNA", at positions 1470 to 1796 of the family's 1831-position model. The record is from RNAcentral.
CCCUUAGAUGUUCUGGGCCGCACGCGCGCUACACUGAUGAAUUCAACGAGCACUAACCUGUGCCGAAAGGUUCGGGUAAUCUUGUGAAAUUUCAUCGUGAUGGGGAUUGAUUAUUGCAAUUUUUAAUCAUAAACGAGGAAUGCCUAGUAAGCGUGAGCCAUCAGCUCACGUUGAUUACGUCCCUGCUCUUUGUACACACCGCCCGUCGCUCCUACCGAUUGAAUGUGCCAGUGAAAAGUUAGGAUUGGGCGUGGGAGACGGCAACGUAUUCCACAUCCGAGAAAAUCUUUAAACUUUCCCAUUUAGAGGAAGGAGAAGUCGUAACA